RNAcentral lists this unclassified non-coding RNA (387 nucleotides) under fungal sp. RNAcentral describes it as "partial internal transcribed spacer region". The stretch from base 1 to 46 matches the Rfam family "Eukaryotic small subunit ribosomal RNA", at positions 1786 to 1831 of the family's 1831-position model. The record is from RNAcentral. Lineage: Eukaryota; Fungi.
AAGUCGUAACAAGGUCUCCGUAGGUGAACCUGCGGAGGGAUCAUUAACACGUAUCCAACACGUUUAAAACCAAAACCGCGAACCUCUUUUUGCCUGUAUCGGAAGGUGUAUAUGUAAGCCACAAGAUAGAUUCGGGGAACUUUCGGGUUCUUCGUCUACUUACAGUACUAUGGUCUCUUUGAGGACCGAACCGAUUCGAUAUAGUGUAUGAAAGCUAUCUUGGUUAUCUGUGCCAACCCGGUAUCGACCCGGAGCCUGGUAACCUUAUUAAUCCUUAUUUUAACCCCUUUAUUAACAAUUAUACUGAUUUUACCUCUUUUUCACUUACCAGUGAGAAAGAAGUAUACGAAACGCGAACAACUCUUAGCAACGGAUAUCUUGGUUCUC